RNAcentral lists this long non-coding RNA (2823 nucleotides) under Homo sapiens (human). RNAcentral describes it as "HSALNT0306910". The record is from RNAcentral. Lineage: Eukaryota; Metazoa; Chordata; Mammalia; Primates; Hominidae.
AACCUGCUCGGGUGCCCUUCUCCAGUGUGGUAGCUUUGUUCUUUCCCUCUUUGCAAUAAAUCUUGCUGCUUCUCACUCUUUGGGUCCACACUGCCUUUAUGAGCUGUAACACUCACUUCGAAGGGCUGCAGCUUCACUCCUGAAGCCAGCGAGACCACGAACCCACCAGGAGGAACGAACAACUCCAGACGCGCCGCCUUAAGAGGUGUAACACUCACCGCGAAGGUCCGCAGCUUCACUCCUGAGUCGGCGAGACCACGAACCCACCAGAAGGAAGAAACCCUGAACACAUCCGAACACCAGAAGGAACAAACUCUGGACACGCCGCCUUUAAGAACUGUAACACUCACCGCAAGGGUCCGCGGCUUCAUUGUUGAAGUCAGUGAGACCAAGAACCCACCAAUUCCAGACACAAUAUCAAGUUUUAUAAUUAAUUGUUAACUUUUAUUUUUCACUAGCACAAUUUCGUUUCUAUAAACUGAACACUCAAGGUUUGACUGCCAUUUCAUAUCAUUUGCACAUUAGAAGAAGACAUUGGGACAUGCUGAGGCCAACCUCCAUUACCAAUAAAUCAGAGUUUCUAAUAAACUCUUAUAUUGUCCCUCUGAUUAUUACUUCUGUUCCAUUUGAAAAGGAAAACAUUUCAGUUUUUAAUUCUCUUUCUUAAGCCUACUUUUCAGAACACUACAGCUUCAGACUUGCUUCUUUUUACUCAUAGGUGAGAUAAAGGCAGUAUUACAUAAUAAUAGGUCAAGAGUGUUGCCUCUUAACUGAUUCAGAGAUAAGUUUGAAAUCCUGCUCUGCCAUUUAUUGCCCAGAUAAUAUUGCAUAAAUUAUUUAGCCUUGCCAUGCCUCAGUGUCCUCAUCUCUAAAUGAUGAUAAUACUUGCACUGUUGGUUUAUAAUCAUGAUUAAAUGAGAUAAUAAAUGCAAAGGCCUCAGCACAUUGCCUGGCAUAUAGCAAAUGCUAAACCCAUGGUAGUUAUAAUUUGGACAAUGAAUUGGCUGUCUUAGGAAAUUUGUGCCCUCACCUCUUGUAGCUUUCUUUUUCACUUGCUGGCUAUGUAAAGCAAGAGCCCUCUUCAUGAAUGGAAAGAAAAAAAAAUAAGAUGUUUUUCCAAAUAUGUAAAAGUUUAUCUCUGUUUUUGUUUUUAGUGUAAUUAGUGUGGGAUGUCAAUGUAUUUAAAAUUUAAGGAAAGAGAAACAUGAUAAUGUCUCAAGAUAGCAAUGAUUGGAAGUGAAAUAGACAGACAUGCAACAUAUUCUUCGCAACUAUGAAGUUAACAGGGAAGGAAGUAAACUAAUUAAUUAAUUAAUUGUAUAAACUGACUCUAGAAAUCAAUAAAACAGUAAUCUAUAAUAAUAUCCUCAGAAAGAUAAAAUAUUAAACUCAUAAUUUAAAAAUGUUAGUUUUUUACAAAAAGACAAUUCAGCAAAUCAGCAAAAGUGGUUGGAAAUUAUUGACAGAAAUUUUAAACAGACAAUAAAGGAGUGUUGACGUACAAAACGACACCAACAAAAAGACAAUUGAAAAGUCUGAAGGUAAAGUUAAGGAACUAUUUUAGAAAUUAGAAGGGAAAUAGAAAAAAAAAAAGUCAAGUCAGAAACCAAUUUCAGGAGUUUUAACCUCUAACAAACAAGAGUCCCAGAAAGUGAGCAGAAAAAAAAAAAAAAAAGGAGAAGACACUGUCAGAUAAAUGCUAAAAGAAAAUGUCCCAAGAGUGAAAAACUCUAGUUUCCAAAACAUCUCUAACAGUUAGGAACUUGGUUGAAUGGAAAUAGGUGAGGCCCACGUCAGUUAUUUCUAGUGUCUUUAUUUUCCAACUUUAAAGAUUCUGUUGUUAAUCUGACAUCUAUGGUCAUUUCUCAUGCCUUUUAUAGUAGGUUUUUAAUGGGUCUAAAAUAAAGUUUGUGUCUACUCUUUCUUGUUUAACUGGAAUUCUCUUAAUUAUCAUUUAAAAAAAAUCUGUAGCCUAGUAGUAGAAUGCUAGAUCCACAGUAAGAACUCAUUAUGUGCUUGCUGAAUAAAAGAACAAUUUUUUGAAUAAGCAAGAGUAACAGGGUCUGACCAGACAACAUACUGUGUCAACUUUUUCAGAGUUACUCGUUGCUAACUUAGGGAUUUGGGCAUAUUACUUCUUAUCUCUGAGACUUAGUCUCCUCAUCUGUGUAAUAAUGUUAAUAAUAAAUUACUGAGACAUUUUUGAAGAUAAAUGAGACAGUAUUCACAAAUUAUAUAUCAUAGCCCUGAAACCUGGCAAGUUAUUAAUAAAUGUUAUUAACCAUCCUCCUAUUCCGUCUUUUGGACCCACAGCAGAGCAUCACUAUGCACACGAACAAGACCUUCCUUGAGUUUCCAUGCAGUAAUUAAUUCAAGGCCUGCCUCUAAUUUAGUUAUUUUAAGUGCAAUCUUUUCCUGGGACCCCAAAGAAAUUUGGCAACAUAUAAGAUGUUGCCAAGUGGUAACUUUUAUUGAGAAAUAUAUUACGAAAUUCAUAUCAUAUAAGAUUGUUCAGUGAUAAAUUUCACCUAUUAAAUUAUUUUAAAAAUAACAGAUGCAUUCUCAAAUGUGUUCAAGUUCAACUUGAAUAUUUGAUCUCUUUCGAUAACCCAUUCUACGCUACAUGUUUAUUUCCUUGAAAAUAAGAAUUUAAAACAAACAAAUGAAAAACCCCUUUCUGUGCAUUCUUCCUCAGUCAGAAAAUAAUCGAGUUUCCUUUGGCUUCCAGUACGUUGUUUCAGCAAAUACUGAAUAUGAGGGGAGUUGUACAACUAUUUUUUAAAAGUAACUAGUUAGACUUUUAAUCAUUAUUAAAAUAAAAAC